CCCGAGCUCAACUUGGGAACUGCGUUGAAACUACAAGACUAGAAUAUGUCAGAGGGGGGUAGAAUUCCACGUGUAGCAGUGAAAUGCGUAGAGAUGUGGAGGAAUACCAAUGGCGAAGGCAGCCCCCUGGGAUAAUAUUGACGCUCAUGCACGAAAGCGUGGGGAGCAAACAGGAUUAGAUACCCUGGUAGUCCACGCCCUAAACGAUGUCUACGAGUUGUUGGUGGAGUAAAAUCCAUGAGUAACGCAGCUAACGCGUGAAGUAGACCGCCUGGGGAGUACGGUCGCAAGAUUAAAACUCAAAUGAAUUGACGGGGGCCCGCACAAGCGGUGGAUUAUGUGGAUUAAUUCGGUGCAACGCGAAAAACCUUACCUGGCCUUGACAUGUAGCGAACUUUCCAGAGAUGGAUUGGUGCCCGAAAGGGAGCGCUAACACAGGUGCUGCAUGGCUGUCGUCAGCUCGUGUCGUGAGAUGUUGGGUUAAGUCCCGCAACGAGCGCAACCCUUGCCAUUAAUUGCCAUCAUUUAGUUGGGCACUUUAAUGGGACUGCCGGUGACAAACCGGAGGAAGGUGGGGAUGACGUCAAGUCCUCAUGGCCCUUAUGGCCAGGGCUUCACACGUAAUACAAUGGUCGGUACAGAGGGUCGCCAACCCGCGAGGGGGAGCAAAUCCCAGAAAGCCGAUCGUAGUCCGGAUUGUAGUCUGCAACUCGACUACAUGAAGUCGGAAUCGCUAGUAAUCGCGGAUCAGCAUGUCGCGGUGAAUACGUUCCCGGGCCUUGUACACACCGCCCGUCACACCAUGGGAGUGGGUUUUACCAGAAGUAGGUAGUCUAACCGUAAGGAGGACGCUUACCACGGUAGUAUUCAUGACUGGGGUGAAGUCGUAACAAGGUA
Molecule: ribosomal RNA, 897 nt
Filed under: uncultured Methylophilus sp.
Lineage: Bacteria; Pseudomonadati; Pseudomonadota; Betaproteobacteria; Nitrosomonadales; Methylophilaceae
Description: bacterial SSU rRNA
Rfam family: Bacterial small subunit ribosomal RNA
Source: RNAcentral